Molecule: ribosomal RNA, 125 nt
Filed under: uncultured Acidobacteriota bacterium
Lineage: Bacteria; Pseudomonadati; Acidobacteriota
Description: uncultured Acidobacteria bacterium partial 16S ribosomal RNA
Rfam family: Bacterial small subunit ribosomal RNA
Source: RNAcentral
ACUCUUACGGGAGGCAGCAGUGGGGAAUUUUGCACAAUGGGGGAAACCCUGAUGCAGCAACGCCGCUAAAACGAUGAAGUCCUUCGGGUUGUAAACCUCUUUCGACCGGGACGAUAAUGACGUAC